GACGGGUGAGUAACGCGUGGGUAACCUGCCUCUUACAGGGGGAUAACAGUUGGAAACGGCUGCUAAUACCGCAUAAGCGCACAGCAUCGCAUGAUGCAGUGUGAAAAACUCCGGUGGUAUAAGAUGGACCCGCGUUGGAUUAGCUAGUUGGUGAGGUAACGGCCCACCAAGGCGACGAUCCAUAGCCGACCUGAGAGGGUGACCGGCCACAUUGGGACUGAGACACGGCCCAAACUCCUACGGGAGGCAGCAGUGGGGAAUAUUGCACAAUGGGCGAAAGCCUGAUGCAGCGACGCCGCGUGAGCGAAGAAGUAUUUCGGUAUGUAAAGCUCUAUCGGCAGGUAUUUUAAUGACGGUACCUGAGUAAGAAGCCCCGGCUAACUACGUGCCAGCAGCCGCGGUAAUACGUAGGGGGCAAGCGUUAUCCGGAUUUACUGGGUGUAAAGGGAGCGUAGACGGCGAGGCAAGUCUGAUGUGAAAGCCUGGGGCUCAACCCCGGGACUGCAUUGGAAACUGCUUUGCUGGAGUGCCGGAGAGGUAAGCGGAAUUCCUAGUGUAGCGGUGAAAUGCGUAGAUAUUAGGAGGAACACCAGUGGCGAAGGCGGCUUACUGGACGGUAACUGACGUUGAGGCUCGAAAGCGUGGGGAGCAAACAGGAUUAGAUACCCUGGUAGUCCACGCGGUAAACGAU
This 691-nucleotide ribosomal RNA is filed under the name uncultured bacterium. RNAcentral's name for it is "bacterial SSU rRNA". It matches the Rfam family "Bacterial small subunit ribosomal RNA", at positions 100 to 810 of the family's 1533-position model. The record is from RNAcentral.